This is a long non-coding RNA of Anolis carolinensis (green anole), 478 nucleotides long. RefSeq lists it as uncharacterized. NCBI's taxonomy places the organism in Eukaryota, Metazoa, Chordata, Lepidosauria, Squamata, Anolidae. The record is from RefSeq and is a predicted model, not a curated record. The transcript is spliced from 3 exons.
UUGCGUUGCCAUGCUCUGUCCUGGCGUGAACCUGAGCUGCCUGCCUUUUGCCGUUCUCACGGACCUGGACGUUCACUCCAAUAUGAGAGCUUGUUUUUUUGUCUCAGAACAUGCCACAGAUCGAGAAGCACUUUAAAUGCUAUACCUAAAUACUAUGGGAUCCUGGGAGUUGUAAUUUGGAGCGACUUGAGAAACUGCAAUUACUUGAUGUCAUAGAAGUCAAAAUGUGGAGAGGAGGUACCUGCCAGUGCUGCAAUGUAAUGCAAGAAGUACCUUCUGAAGUCCCCUAAUUUGCAUAAGUCCUGAAGGUACUAGCCAGGCACUGGUUCCAGGUGCUUCUGAUAGUUGCCUGCUUCCUGAGCCCACUUGUCGAUGGAUGUCCAGAAUCAGCAGCAUCCACUACAGUCCUUUUUAUCCUGGGUAACGACCAAGCCACUAUAGACUUCGUUUUGGUUUGUUUCUCCAUAACGCUAAAGGG